CAUAUCAAUAAGCGGAGGAAAAGAAACCAACAGGGAUUGCCCCAGUAACGGCGAGUGAAGCGGCAACAGCUCAAAUUUGAAAUCUGGUCCCCAGGGCCCGAGUUGUAAUUUGCAGAGGAUGCUUUUGGUGAGGUGCCUUCCGAGUUCCCUGGAACGGGACGCCAUAGAGGGUGAGAGCCCCGUCUGGUUGGAUACCGAGCCUCUGUAAAGCUCCUUCGACGAGUCGAGUAGUUUGGGAAUGCUGCUCUAAAUGGGAGGUAUAUGUCUUCUAAAGCUAAAUAUUGGCCAGAGACCGAUAGCGCACAAGUAGAGUGAUCGAAAGAUGAAAAGCACUUUGAAAAGAGGGUUAAAUAGUACGUGAAAUUGUUGAAAGGGAAGCACUUAUGACCAGACUUGGCCCCGGUGAAUCAUCCAGCGGUUCCCGCUGGUGCACUUUGCCGGGGUUCAGGCCAGCAUCAGUUCGCUCCGGGGGAUAAAGGCUUUGGGAAUGUGGCUCCCUCGGGAGUGUUAUAGCCCAUUGCGUAAUACCCUGUGGCGGGCUGAGGUUCGCGCUUUAUGCAAGGAUGCUGGCAUAAUGGUCAUCAGUGACCCGUCUUGAAACACGGACCAAGGAGUCGUCUUCGUAUGCGAGUGUUCGGGUGUUAAACCCCUACGCGUAAUGAAAGUGAACGCAGGUGAGAGCCCUCCAGGGCGCAUCAUCGACCGAUCCUGAUGUUCUCGGAUGGAUUUGAGUAAGAGCAUACGGGGCCGGACCCGAAAGAAGGUGAACUAUGCCUGUAUAGGGUGAAGCCAGAGGAAACUCUGGUGGAGGCUCGCAGCGGUUCUGACGUGCAAAUCGAUCGUCAAAUAUGGGCAUGGGGGCGAAAGACUAAUCGAACCUUCUAGUAGCUGGUUUCCGCCGA
Molecule: ribosomal RNA, 902 nt
Filed under: Metarhizium sp.
Lineage: Eukaryota; Fungi; Ascomycota; Sordariomycetes; Hypocreales; Clavicipitaceae
Description: partial large subunit ribosomal RNA
Rfam family: Eukaryotic large subunit ribosomal RNA
Source: RNAcentral